Molecule: long non-coding RNA, 597 nt
Organism: Dreissena polymorpha
Lineage: Eukaryota; Metazoa; Mollusca; Bivalvia; Myida; Dreissenidae
Exons: 4
Source: RefSeq, a predicted model, not a curated record
GGACUGUCCAACAGAUUAAACCGUCGUUCGACGCGAAUCGAUAUUUUUGGAAACUACGAGGAUUGCUUAUAUAGCUAAAAAAUACCUCCGCAUUUGACGUGAGCGUGGAUGGUCGAGUGGUAAAGUCGGGAGACAUUUUACUCCAAGCUUCCAUGACUCUAGGGGUCAGUGGUUCGAGCCCUGUGGAGCAAUCUAUAAAGGACAAACAUGAAAAUAUUCGUGCUGGGAUGUCUGUGCGUGUUGAGCGUGAUUGCAUUGGUUUCUUCCACGGCGAUGUAUGGUGCUUAUCCGGCCUAUACCGGCACUGUUGGCUACGGUAGCUAUGGAUACGGGGCAGGAGGUGGCGGCGGAUUCGGGGGCAUCUUUGGCAUCCUUAUUUUCUUGUUUGUAUUUAUCAUCAUUAUCAACCUUCUGUUCGGCGGUGGUAUCGGAGGCGGCAAUCAAGGCGGUGGCGGUGGAUACACGAACAACAAGAACAAUUACUAGACAGUGAUCAGCCUUGUGACAACCAUUCGACACGAGUAAUGGAAAAAAAGAACAAGCUUCUGUAAUACUAUGUAACAUUAUGUAUGCAUAUUAAAUAAGAGCAUCCCUCAA